GGGGGUAUAUCUCAGCUGGGAGAGCGCUUGAAUGGCAUUCAAGAGGUCAGCGGUUCGAUCCCACUUAUCUCCACCA
RNAcentral lists this transfer RNA (76 nucleotides) under Clostridia bacterium. RNAcentral's name for it is "tRNA-Ala". It matches the Rfam family "tRNA". Rfam says of the family: Transfer RNA (tRNA) molecules are approximately 80 nucleotides in length. The record is from RNAcentral. Lineage: Bacteria; Bacillati; Bacillota; Clostridia.